This 433-nucleotide ribosomal RNA is filed under the name uncultured bacterium. RNAcentral's name for it is "partial 16S ribosomal RNA". It matches the Rfam family "Bacterial small subunit ribosomal RNA", at positions 29 to 507 of the family's 1533-position model. The record is from RNAcentral.
AGCGAACGCUGGCGGCAGGCCUAACACAUGCAAGUCGAACGAACUCUUCGGAGUUAGUGGCGGAUGGGUGAGUAACACGUGGGAACGUGCCUUUUGGUUUGGAAUAACUCAGGGAAACUUGUGCUAAUACCGAAUGUGCCCUUCGGGGGGAAGAUUUAUCGCCAUUAGAGCGGCCCGCGUCUGAUUAGCUAGUUGGUGAGGUAACGGCUCACCAAGGCGACGAUCAGUAGCUGGUUUGAGAGGAUGACCAGCCACACUGGGACUGAGACACGGCCCAGAAUCCUACGGGAGGCAGCAGUGGGGAAUCUUGCGAAAUGGGCGAAAGCCUGACGCAGCCAUGCCGCGUGAAUGAUGAAGGUCUUAGGAUUGUAAAAUUCUUUCACCGGGGACGAUAAUGACGGUACCCGGAGAAGAAGCCCCGGCUAACUUCGUG